This is a long non-coding RNA of Homo sapiens (human), 1043 nucleotides long. Ensembl annotates it as long intergenic non-protein coding RNA 1193. Lineage: Eukaryota; Metazoa; Chordata; Mammalia; Primates; Hominidae. The record is from Ensembl.
AGUAACACUCUGGGAGGGCUCAGGCCACAUCACGAAAUGUGACAGGAUAGCCUUGAACUCAUCAAUUGCUGGCAAGGUAAGCUGUCAUCAGUUGGAGGUAAGCAGAAGACAGUAGAGAGUACAGAGCCCUGGACUGUGACUCAGAGGAUGAGCACCAGAUCCAGUUUGCUGUGCCACAGUGUGUAAAAAGCGGGCUUGGAGUAAGCACUGCCUGCAGACCACUUUUGUGAGCCCUCCUUUCAGUGAUGUGAUGGCAAUCCAGGCCCCUGCUGGGAGAGAUUUCUGCCUGGUUAAACCUCUCACAGCUUCUAAUCCUCUCUUUCUCAUCUGGCUUUCCUUAGCCUUCUCCAAAGUCACUCACAGAAGGCAUCCCACUCAACCUCACCUUGGGGUAAAUCAAAAUAGUCCUCCUUCUGAAGCUACCGGGUAAAACGGUGGUAGCUGUGCAGCUGCUGCUGAUCAACAGGCUCCAGAAACAGCAGCAGGAGGUGAGCAGUCCCUGCGUUGGCCACCAAGUGGUAGGUGGCCAGCCCUACCUCCAAGUUGCACUGUUUACUUAUUCAUCUUUCAUGGUAAAGCCUCCAGUUGCCUAUUAUGAAAUCAGCAAUAAUCAUGUGUCCCCUGUCUGGGUCCCUGAAAAGAUGGAAAGAGGCAGAUCAGGCUGGUGCUCUGAGAAUGACAGACAUCAAACAAGAAUGAAAAGUGUCACCCUCCUUGGACUUAUUCAGUAACUCAUGCCCUUGAGCAAAGGAGGAUUUUCUAUCAAAGGACAUGGAUUUCUGUGUCUUUCUCUUGAGAUAACAUUGCUGGGUGACCACAGAAAGCUGGCUCUGGAAGCACAGAAGCUGCCUUUCCUUGAGUAAUAAUGUCUCUUCAAAGGGAGCUGGAGCAUGAGUAGUGUACAUGCCUCAGAUUUCAGUGAAAAGUUCAGAGGAGGCCUGAGAAGAAGGUCCUGGGAAUGAAUCAUCUAGAUGACUCAACCUUGCAAAGCCAUCCACCUCAUUGUGGAUAUCAUUCAAUACAUUUGGUGCUCCAUCAUCCUA